This 300-nucleotide ribosomal RNA is filed under the name uncultured Methanobrevibacter sp. Its description in RNAcentral is "bacterial SSU rRNA". It matches the Rfam family "Bacterial small subunit ribosomal RNA", at positions 496 to 795 of the family's 1533-position model. Lineage: Archaea; Methanobacteriati; Methanobacteriota; Methanobacteria; Methanobacteriales; Methanobacteriaceae. The record is from RNAcentral.
GCUACCUCCGUGGCAGGAGCAGCGGGCUUGCGUGGGGUCUAAGCGGUAUGCGGAAUCCUUGGGGUUAAAGGGUCCGUAGGCGGACUUAUAAGUAGGCGGUGAAAGUUUUUGGCUUAACCAAAAAAUUGCCAUUGAUACUGUAGGGCUUGAAUAUUUGUGAAGUAACUAGAAUAUGUAGUGUAGCGGUGAAAUGCUUAGAUAUUACAUGGAAUACCAAUUGCGAAGGCAGGUUACUAACAAAUGAUUGACGCUGAUGGACGAAAGCGUGGGUAGCGAACAGGAUUAGAUACCCUUGUAGUC